RNAcentral lists this long non-coding RNA (4469 nucleotides) under Heterocephalus glaber (naked mole-rat). RNAcentral describes it as "lncRNA (ENSHGLG00000045087.1)". Lineage: Eukaryota; Metazoa; Chordata; Mammalia; Rodentia; Bathyergidae. The record is from RNAcentral.
GGCAUUUCUGGUAUGAAUCCUGUUCCAACACAUGCCAGAAGUGUGACCUUAGGAUUGUGGGUGAUCAUCUCCUGGAAGCAAGAAGUCAUGGAGGAGAACUCUUCUGCAGGAUAGGAGGAGAAAAAGGUGGAGGAAUCCCUCACUUCAAAUGAGAUUAGAUUAAAACGUGGGAAACAUUUUUGAAUGAUAUUAAAAUGUGGGAAACAGUGCAUAAUUUUGUAGAAAAAGAGAAUCUGUUUAAAAACAAUGGAAUGUCAUAUUUCUGUGAAAUCCUCAAAAGGAGGCAGAAGCAAGUGUCAUUGGAUACAUUCUUUAUUAAAGUUGCAUAAAAAGAAACCAUUCCAUUAAGCCAAUAGGUAGCAGUGAUUUCAUUAGUGAUAGUGAAAGUCCUCCUACACAAUAACCCUCCUCUCUCUUAUCUCUCUCACAACAGCCACAAAGGUUUUCAAAGAUAAAUGCAGAUUUAUUUUUGUUUGUAUUUUGUAUUUUACUUAUUAUUUUGUAUUAUGUUACAGAAUGUUUUUUGGGUUUUUUUUUGGUACCAGGGAUUGAACUCAGGACCUUGUGCUUUUGAGGCAGGCAGCAAAACCACUGAGCUAAAUCCCCAGCCCUGUAUUAUGUUACAAUAUUGUAAUCUUUUUUUUUUUUUUGAGACAGGGUCUCUGUAUGUAGCCAAGUUGGCCUCAAACUCACCAGGAUUCUUCUGCCUCAGCCUCCCAAGUGACGGGAUUACAGGCACGUGUCACCACAUCUGGCUGUAAUAAUUUUCUUUUUCUUUUGGUACCAGGGAUCGAACUCAGGACCUUACAUUUAUGAGGCAGGCGGUGGAACCACUGAGCUAAAUCCCUGGCCCUGGCUGUAAUAAUUUUUAUGUGAACAUUUUUGAGUUAUAGAAUGAAUCAUCUGAGUUUCCAUUGUUUCUUAUGGGAAAUUUUACUUUUUUGGGGCGGGGGGGAAUUUUACUUUGAUAUACAAGUGCUUUGGAUUACAAGCAUGUUUCUAGGACAAAUACUCAUAAACCAAGGUUUUACUGUGUAUAUAUAAAAUGUUCAAAAUAUUUAUUUGUGUUUAUAAGGAAUAAUAGAGGAAAGUACAUGCACUCCAUCUUCCCAGAAAUGGAACAUGGACAUUUUCUUUUCCCCUGAAUGGUGUUUCACCUCCCUGGUCUCGGCACUAAAUGAUAGCAGCUCUGCUUAGACAUUGUGGCAAAAAAAAUCCUGGGUUAGAAUUAUUUAAAUUUGCUUUUGGGCUGAUGAUUUAGCUCAGAGGCACUGCACCUGCCUUGCAAGCGCAAGGUCUUGAGUUCGAUCCCUGGUAGCUGAAAAAAAAAAGAAAGAAAUUUUCUUUUAUUGUACAAGGAAGGAUUUUUUGUUUUUGUUUUUUUGUACCAGGAACCAAACUCAGGACCUUGAGCUUGCCAGGCAGGUGCAGGGCCACUGAGCUGCAUCCCUGGCCUGUGGAAGUUACUUCUUUUUGUUUGUUUUUUUGUUUUUGGUACCAGAGAUCGAACUCAGGACCUUGCGCUAGUGAAGCAGCAUUACUUCUAAUAUUUAAUAACUAUAGCUGGGGAUUUAGCUCAGUGGUUCCACCUCCUGCCUUGCAAUUGCAAGAUCCUGAGUUCGAUCCCCGGUACAAAAAAAAAAAAAUACUAUAAAGAUGUGAUGAAUGUUUCUUCCUCUUUUUUUUUUUUCCGUUGUUUUUUGAGAUAAGGUCUUGCUAUGAAUUUACUAUGUUUGUUUGUGGGGUUUUUUUGGUACUGGGGAUCAAACUCAGGACCUUGCGCUUACAAGGCAGGCACUGGAACCACUCAGCUAAAACCCCGGCCCACUAUGAAUUUACUAUGUAGCCCAGACUGGCCUCAAACUCAUGGCAAUCCUCUUGCCUCAGCUUCCUUUUUUUUUUUCUUCAGGUUCUUGAGUGCUGGGAUUAACAGGCAUGUGCCACCGUGUCCAGCCUAUGAUGAACAUUUCUGAACAUAAUUUUUUGUUACAUUGUGCUGCUUACUUCCUUAAGAUAGAACCCCAAAAUUAGGGUUACUAGGCCAAAAGAUAAGGUCUUUUAAUUUGUUUAUUUGUUUGUACUGGGAAUUGAACCCAGGGCCUUCACACUGUGCUACAUCUCUGGUUUGUUUGUUUGUUUAUUUAUUUAUUUAUUUACAUAUAAAUUUUGAAACUAGAUCUCACUAAGUUGAUAGACAGCUCAAGAUGAGCUCAAAUUUGCAAUCCUCCUGCCUCAACCUCUCAGAGGGCUGGGUUUAUAGUCAUGCUCAACCAUACCCAGCCCUUUCUUCUUUUUAAAUCGACUACCUCGGGUUUUUGGGUUUGUUUUGUUUUGGUUUUUUAUUUUUUUGAGACAGGGUCUCACUAUGUAGCCCAGGCUGGCCUCCAACUCAUGACGAUCCUCCUGCCUCAGCCUCCCAGGUGCUAGGAUUACAGGCAUGUACCACCAUACCCAGCUUAUCUCAGGUAUUUUGUCACAGUGAUGGAAAGCUGACUAACACAACUGUGAUGAAAUGGCACACCUGGAUUUGAGCAACAAUGAUACAGUAGAAGGAGGAUUUAUACUAUCUGGAUUUGAACAUCAAUGUAAUCUGAAUUUUGUUAUAAGGUGAAUGUAUUCUUACACUCUCUGGGCCAGUUGAAGCCAGAGCUGCAGGCAGUUCUAGCCCAUGAGAACUGCCAAUAUCAUAAAAUGGGCCACACAGGGAAACACUGCAGAGGUGCAGUGGCACAUGCUGAAGCAGAGGGAUUACAAAUUUAAGACCAGCCUAGUCAACUGAGACUCUCAAAAUACAUAAAAAGGGCUGACAAUGUAGCUCAGUGGUAGAGUGCUUACCUAGCAUGCACAAGACCUUCAGUUCAAUCCCCCUACUGGGGGGAGAAAAGUUAAAAAAAAAAACCAAACAAAUAAUCUCAUGGAUUGUACACUCUAGAUCUAGUUAUUCUGAAACUAUUUCCAUACUUUGUUCUUUAUAAGAUUUAGAAAUAUGAGCUACUAAAACAAAAAAGAAAAAGAAAAAGUAUGAGCUACUAAAUUUAACCCCACUCCCCUCCACUAGUUUUUUAGGUUUGUUUGUUUAUUUGUUUGGGGUUUUUUGAGACUAUGUCUUGCCCUGUAGUCCUGGAUGGCCUUGAACUUUCGACAGUCCUCCUGCCUCAGCCUCCAGAGUGCUGGGAUUACAGGCUUGCAUUUGGCUAGUUUUUCUUAAAGUAGUUUGAAUUUGACUUGCAAUAGAAAGAAUCUUGGCCUAUAUUUAGGCAUGGAAGUAGGAAAAGAUAUCAGAUAUUAGAAUAAAUUUAUAUAAAAUAGUAUUUUAGCUGGUCAUAGUGGUGCACAUCUUUAGUCCCUCCUACUGGAGAGCCAGAGGCAAGAUCACUUGAGAUCAAGAGUUUGAGAUCAGCCUAGGCAACAUAGUAAAACCUUAUUUCAGGAAAACAAACAGUCCCACAAGGUGGCAUACACCUGUAAUACCAGCACUCAAGAGGCUAAUGCAAGAGGGUCACUGCAAGUUUGAGCCCAGCGUGUGCUACAUAGUGAGUUUAAGGCCAGCCUGGACUACAUAACAAGACCCUGUCUCUAAAAACCAAAGGGGAUGGGGGAAAGAAAAACAAACAAAACAAAAUAAAGAAAUAAAAUAGCAUUAAAAAUAUGAACCACUGGCCAUGGUGGCAUAUGCCUGUAAUCCUAGCACUUGGGAGGUUGAGGCAGGAUUGUCAUGAGUUCAAGGUCAGCCUGGGUUACAUAAUGAGUUCACAGCCAGCCUGAACUAUAGAGUGAGACUCUAUCUCAAAAAUAAAUGAAUAAACCAAUACCAUGUAGAAGUAUAGUUUGAAAUUACUAAAUAUACUGUCAAAAAGCAAGCUAUAGAAUGGAAAGAAAUUUUUAUAUGCAAGUGAUAUGUAGGAUAUAUAAAAAAGUACAACAGCAAAUAAUUUAAUAACUUGAUUUGAAAAUGACCAAAAGAUUUCAGCCUUCCAAAAAUGAUACACAAAUGGCCAAGAAGUAUAUGAGAUAGGAAACAGGGACAUAGCUCUUUUACAAAUGGGAAGGGGACCGAGAGAUGAAGGAAAGGGUGUGGGGGGAAGGGGACAUAAAAAGAAUGAAGAAUUAAAAUGUGUUACAUACAUGUACCAACUUCCCAUGAUGAAUGUAAUCAUUAUGUACUGCAAACGUACUAAUAAAAAUUAAAAAUUUUAUAAAGAAGCAUAUGAAUAGAUAGAUAUCACUAAUCAGAAGAGAAAUGCAAAUUAAAACCAGAUGCUACUUCACACCCAUUAUGAUGGCUACUGUGGAAGGAAAAAGGAAAGAGGAAGGAAGGGAGAGGGGCAGGGAAGAAGAAAAGAGAUCUGUCUUGUGUUCCCUAUCAUGAAUGUAUCACCUUGUAUUUAACCAUUCCCUACUGAUAAAUUUUAAAUUGUUUUAGUUUUUUUUCUAUUAAAAAAUCUCAAUAAAUAUUAUCAUUCAAUGAA